AAUACAUGCAAGUCGAACGCUUCUUUUUCCACCGGGAGCUUGCUCCACCGGAAAAAGAGGAGUGGCGAACGGGUGAGUAACACGUGGGUAACCUGCCCAUCAGAAGGGGAUAACACUUGGAAACAGGUGCUAAUACCGUAUAACAAUCAAAACCGCAUGGUUUUGAUUUGAAAGGCGCUUUCGGGUGUCGCUGAUGGAUGGACCCGCGGUGCAUUAGCUAGUUGGUGAGGUAACGGCUCACCAAGGCCACGAUGCAUAGCCGACCUGAGAGGGUGAUCGGCCACAUUGGGACUGAGACACGGCCCAAACUCCUACGGGAGGCAGCAGUAGGGAAUCUUCGGCAAUGGACGAAAGUCUGACCGAGCAACGCCGCGUGAGUGAAGAAGGUUUUCGGAUCGUAAAACUCUGUUGUUAGAGAAGAACAAGGAUGAGAGUAACUGUUCAUCCCUUGACGGUAUCUAACCAGAAAGCCACGGCUAACUACGUGCCAGCAGCCGCGGUAAUACGUAGGUGGCAAGCGUUGUCCGGAUUUAUUGGGCGUAAAGCGAGCGCAGGCGGUUUCUUAAGUCUGAUGUGAAAGCCCCCGGCUCAACCGGGGAGGGUCAUUGGAAACUGGGAGACUUGAGUGCAGAAGAGGAGAGUGGAAUUCCAUGUGUAGCGGUGAAAUGCGUAGAUAUAUGGAGGAACACCAGUGGCGAAGGCGGCUCUCUGGUCUGUAA
This 719-nucleotide ribosomal RNA is filed under the name uncultured Bacilli bacterium. Its description in RNAcentral is "bacterial SSU rRNA". It matches the Rfam family "Bacterial small subunit ribosomal RNA", at positions 50 to 739 of the family's 1533-position model. The record is from RNAcentral. Lineage: Bacteria; Bacillati; Bacillota; Bacilli.